RNAcentral lists this ribosomal RNA (324 nucleotides) under uncultured eukaryote. RNAcentral describes it as "partial 18S ribosomal RNA". It matches the Rfam family "Eukaryotic small subunit ribosomal RNA", at positions 1470 to 1796 of the family's 1831-position model. The record is from RNAcentral.
CCCUUAGAUGUUCUGGGCCGCACGCGCGCUACACUGACGGAGUCAACGAGUUGUCCUGCAUCGGAAGGUGUGGGUAAUCUUUUGAAACUUCGUCGUGCUGGGGAUAGAUCUUUGCAAUUUUCGAUCUUGAACGAGGAAUUCCUAGUAAGCGUGAUUCAUCAGAUCGCGUUGAUUACGUCCCUGCCCUUUGUACACACCGCCCGUCGCUACUACCGAUUGAAUGGUUUAGUGAGGCCUCGGGACCGGCGCGCUCGAGUAGCAAUACACCUGCGCGCCGGGAACUUGGUCAAACUUGAUCAUUUAGAGGAAGUAAAAGUCGUAACA